GGCCGGCAUAGUGUACAGGAACAUCUGUGCCGAGUAUAACCUGGAAGUCCCGGGGUCAAAAUGGGAGAUGCCCCCAAGGGUGGUGGAGAAUGACCGAGCUAAGAUCCUGUGGGACUUCCAGAUACAGACGGACAAAAUGGUGGUGGCUAACCAACCGGACAUAGUGGUGGUAGACAAACAGAAGAAGACGGCCGUAGUGAUCGAUGUAGCGGUUCCGAAUGACAGCAAUAUCAGGAAGAAGGAACACGAGAAGCUGGAGAAAUACCAAGGGCUCAGAGAAGAGCUCGAGAGGAUGUGGAGGGUGAAGGUAACGGUGGUCCCCAUGGUAAUCGGAGCACUAGGUGCGGUGACUCCCAAGCUAGGCGAGUGGCUCCAGCAGAUCCCGGGAAUAACAUCGGAGAUCUCUGUCCAGAAGAGCGCAGUCCUGGGAACAGCUAAGAUACUGCGCAGGACCCUCAAGCUCCCAGGCCUCUGGUAGAGGACCCGAGCUUGAAGGAUAAACCGCCCACAGGGGUGUGCUGGGUGGUUUUUUUUUUUUUUAUAUAUGUAACGCCAAAUCACAACAAAAGUCGCCUCAAGGCGCUUCAUAGAUACAGAGAAAAACCCAACAAUCAUAUGACCCCCUAUGAGCAAGCACUUUGGCAACAGUGGGAAGGAAAAACUCCCUUUUAACAGGAAGAAACCUCCGGCAGAACCAGGCUCAGGGAGGGGCGGCCAUCUGCUGCGACCGGUUGGGGUGAGAGAAGGAAGACAGGAUAAAAGACAUGCUGUGGAAGAGAGACAGAGAUUAAUAGCAGAUAUGAUUCAAUGCAGAGAGGUCUGUUAAUACAUAGUGAGCGAGAAAGGUGACUGGAAAGGAAAAACUCAAUGCAUCAUGGGCAUAGCUGGACUGGCCAUCGGGCAUACCGGGCAUUCGCCCGGUGGGCCGCUGGCGAUUUUUUGUUUUUAUGGGCCGAUGGAUUUUUUUUUCUUUUUUUAGUAAGGGUAUAUAUAAUGAAAGGUGUUGGAUUGGCCAAUUGGUCAUGAUCGACUCUGGGCUGGACCAAUUACAGCUGAGGAGGCCGGAUGCACCCUCCCCCUUGUUUAGCAAUCACGUGAUUUUCGCGCAUUGCAUGCCGGGAACUCGUGGCAAAACAAUCCAAGUACCGCAUCAAAUGCAAGCAUUUGCAGCACCGCAAAACGUUCAUUCUCCGGUUCCAAUACCUUCUUGUUUUUUCUUUGCCGCACAAAAAAGGAAUGUACAAAACAAAAGGAGAAUAAUGCCAGUCCGUACAAAGACAGACUCGACGAAAAGACAAAGAAAAGAUAUGAGG
This is a long non-coding RNA of Astatotilapia calliptera (eastern happy), 1313 nucleotides long. NCBI's taxonomy places the organism in Eukaryota, Metazoa, Chordata, Actinopteri, Cichliformes, Cichlidae. The record is from Ensembl.